CUGGAGGAGAGCUUGUGGGAGCCAAGGAGCACCUUGGACAUCUGGAGUCUGGCAGGAGUGAUGACGGGUGGAGGGGCUAGCUCGAGGCAGGGCUGGUGGGGCCUGAGGCCAGUGAGGAGUGUGGAGUAGGCGCCCAGGCAUCGUGCAGACAGGGCGACAUCAGCUGGGGACGAUGGGCCUGAGCUAGGGCUGGAAAGAAGGGGGAGCCAGGCAUUCAUCCCGGUCACUUUUGGUUACAGGACGUGGCAGCUGGUUGGACGAGGGGAGCUGGUGGGCAGGGUUUGAUCCCAGGGCCUGGGCAACGGAGGUGUAGCUGGCAGCAGCGGGCAGGUGAGGACCCCAUCUGCCGGGCAGCCAGGUCUCCAGCUGGGGUGGACGUGCCCACCAGCUGCCGAAGGCCAAGACGCCAGGUCCGGUGGACGUGACAAGCAGGACAUGACAUGGUCCGGUGUGACGGCGAGGACAGAGGAGGCGCGUCCGGCCUUCCUGAACACCUUAGGCUGGUGGGGCUGCGGCAAGAAGCGGGUCUGUUUCUUUACUUCCUCCACGGAGUCGGCACACUAUGGCUGCCCUCUGGGCUCCCAGAACCCACAACAUGAAAGAAAUGGUGCUACCCAGCUCAAGCCUGGGCCUUUGAAUCCGGACACAAAACCCUCUAGCUUGGAAAUGAAUAUGCUGCACUUUACAACCACUGCACUACCUGACUCAGGAAUCGGCUCUGGAAGGUGAAGCUAGAGGAACCAGACCUCAUCAGCCCAACAUCAAAGACACCAUCGGAACAGCAGCGCCCGCAGCACCCACCCCGCACCGGCGACUCCAUCUUCAUGGCCACCCCCUGCGGCGGACGGUUGACCACCAGCCACCACAUCAUCCCAGAGCUGAGCUCCUCCAGCGGGAUGACGCCGUCCCCACCACCUCCCUCUUCUUCUUUUUCAUCCUUCUGUCUCUUUGUUUCUGAGCUUUCCUGUCUUUCCUUUUUUCUGAGAGAUUCAAAGCCUCCACGACUCUGUUUCCCCCGUCCCUUCUGAAUUUAAUUUGCACUAAGUCAUUUGCACUGGUUGGAGUUGUGGAGACGGCCUUGAGUCUCAGUACGAGUGUGCGUGAGUGUGAGCCACCUUGGCAAGUGCCUGUGCAGGGCCCGGCCGCCCUCCAUCUGGGCCGGGUGACUGGGCGCCGGCUGUGUGCCCGAGGCCUCACCCUGCCCUCGCCUAGUCUGGAAGCUCCGACCGACAUCACGGAGCAGCCUUCAAGCAUUCCAUUACGCCCCAUCUCGCUCUGUGCCCCUCCCCACCAGGGCUUCAGCAGGAGCCCUGGACUCAUCAUCAAUAAACACUGUUACAGCAAUU
Molecule: long non-coding RNA, 1346 nt
Filed under: Homo sapiens (human)
Lineage: Eukaryota; Metazoa; Chordata; Mammalia; Primates; Hominidae
Description: HSALNT0361012
Source: RNAcentral